AUGGCUGUCGUCAGCUCGUGUCGUGAGAUGUUCGGUUAAGUCCGCUAACGAGCGCAACCCUCGCUGUGUGUUACAAGUGUCACACGGAACUGCCGGUCAUAAACCGGAGGAAGGUGGGGAUGACGUCAAGUCAGCAUGGCCUUUAUAUCCUGGGCUACACACACGCUACAAUGGGAAGGGACAAUAGGUUGCGAAGCCGCGAGGCGGAGCCAAUCCAGCAAAACUUCCCUCAGUUCAGAUUGCAGGCUGCAACUCGCCUGCAUGAAGUUGGAGUUGCUAGUAAACGCAGGUCAGCCAUACUGCGUUGAAUACGUUCCCGGGGCUU
Molecule: ribosomal RNA, 325 nt
Filed under: uncultured Anaerolineaceae bacterium
Lineage: Bacteria; Bacillati; Chloroflexota; Anaerolineae; Anaerolineales; Anaerolineaceae
Description: bacterial SSU rRNA
Rfam family: Bacterial small subunit ribosomal RNA
Source: RNAcentral